GCGCACGGGUGAGUAACGCGUAUGCAACCUACCUAUCAGAGGGGAAUAACCCGGCGAAAGUCGGACUAAUACCGCAUAAAACAGGGGUUCCACAUGGAAAUAUUUGUUAAAGAAUUAUCGCUGAUAGAUGGGCAUGCGUUCCAUUAGAUAGUUGGUGAGGUAACGGCUCACCAAGUCCACGAUGGAUAGGGGUUCUGAGAGGAAGGUCCCCCACACUGGUACUGAGACACGGACCAGACUCCUACGGGAGGCAGCAGUGAGGAAUAUUGGUCAAUGGGCGAGAGCCUGAACCAGCCAAGUCGCGUGAAGGAUGAAGGAUCUAUGGUUUGUAAACUUCUUUUAUAUGGGAAUAAAGUGAGGAACGUGUUCCUUUUUGUAUGUACCAUAUGAAUAAGCAUCGGCUAACUCCGUGCCAGCAGCCGCGGUAAUACGGAGGAUGCGAGCGUUAUCCGGAUUUAUUGGGUUUAAAGGGUGCGUAGGUGGUUAAUUAAGUCAGCGGUGAAAGUUUGUGGCUCAACCAUAAAAUUGCCGUUGAAACUGGUUGACUUGAGUAUAUUUGAGGUAGGCGGAAUGCGUGGUGUAG
This 583-nucleotide ribosomal RNA is filed under the name uncultured Bacteroidales bacterium. Its description in RNAcentral is "bacterial SSU rRNA". It matches the Rfam family "Bacterial small subunit ribosomal RNA", at positions 98 to 678 of the family's 1533-position model. Lineage: Bacteria; Pseudomonadati; Bacteroidota; Bacteroidia; Bacteroidales. The record is from RNAcentral.